RNAcentral lists this ribosomal RNA (476 nucleotides) under uncultured bacterium. RNAcentral describes it as "bacterial SSU rRNA". It matches the Rfam family "Bacterial small subunit ribosomal RNA", at positions 20 to 518 of the family's 1533-position model. The record is from RNAcentral.
UGGUUCAGGAUGAACGCUGACAGAAUGCUUAACACAUGCAAGUCUACUUGAUCCUUCGGGUGAAGGUGGCGGACGGGUGAGUAACGCGUAAAGAACUUGCCUUACAGACUGGGACAACAUUUGGAAACGAAUGCUAAUACCGGAUAUUAUGAUUGGGUCGCAUGAUCUGGUUAUGAAAGCUAUAUGCGCUGUGAGAGAGCUUUGCGUCCCAUUAGUUAGUUGGUGAGGUAACGGCUCACCAAGACGAUGAUGGGUAGCCGGCCUGAGAGGGUGAACGGCCACAAGGGGACUGAGACACGGCCCUUACUCCUACGGGAGGCAGCAGUGGGGAAUAUUGGACAAUGGACCAAAAGUCUGAUCCAGCCAAUUCUGUGUGCACGAUGAAGUUUUUCGGAAUGUAAAGUGCUUUCAGUUGGGAAGAAGUCAGUGACGGUACCAACAGAAGAAGCGACGGCUAAAUACGUGCCAGCCGCGGC